Chelonoidis abingdonii (Abingdon island giant tortoise) is the source of this 179-nucleotide unclassified non-coding RNA. The record is from Ensembl. Lineage: Eukaryota; Metazoa; Chordata; Testudines; Testudinidae.
CAGUCACAGCCUGAACAUUCAAGUACAAGGCUUAUACCCAGAACAGGAACAGCACAGGGCAUCAGAAGUGCCAGCUUUAUCACACUGCCCUUCCAAUGUGCCUCAGUUUUGAUUAAGAAGCAUCACCUAGAAGGGUGAGUUGAUACUUCAUUCUUCCUGUCCAACUGAGACUGCCAACA